GACGAACGCUGGCGGCGUGCUUAACACAUGCAAGUCGAACGGAAAGGCCCUGCUGUUGUGGGGUGCUCGAGUGGCGAACGGGUGAGUAACACGUGAGUAACCUGCCCUUUACGUUGGGAUAACUUCAGUAAACUGGGGCUAAUACCGGAUAGGAGCUCCUGCUGCAUGUUGGGGGUUGGAAAGUUUCGGCGGUUGGGGAUUGACUCGCGGCUUAUCAGCUUGUUGGUGGGGUAGUGGCUUACCAAGGCUUUGACGGGUAGCCGGCCUGAGAGGGUCACCGGCCACAUUGGGACUGAGAUACGGCCCAGACUCCUACGGGAGGCAGCAGUGGGGAAUAUUGCACAAUGGGCGGAAGCCUGAUGCAGCAACGCCGCGUGCGGGAUGACGGCCUUCGGGUUGUAAACCGCUUUCGCCUGUGACGAAGCGUGAGUGACGGUAAUGGGUAAAGAAGCACCGGCUAACUACGUG
This 468-nucleotide ribosomal RNA is filed under the name uncultured bacterium. RNAcentral's name for it is "partial 16S ribosomal RNA". It matches the Rfam family "Bacterial small subunit ribosomal RNA", at positions 28 to 507 of the family's 1533-position model. The record is from RNAcentral.